Molecule: long non-coding RNA, 10057 nt
Filed under: Equus caballus (horse)
Lineage: Eukaryota; Metazoa; Chordata; Mammalia; Perissodactyla; Equidae
Description: lncRNA (ENSECAG00000047030.1)
Source: RNAcentral
CGCGCCGGCCCUCGGCUCCUCCCCAGAGCCCGGGGCCCCAGGCCGGUGCUGGGCGCCGGGGCCGGGUCUCGGGCCGUGGCGAGGCCUCUCCGAGGCGGGCCGCGCGCGGAUUCCCGUCCGCAGAGGCGUGGGGAGGCCUGCGGAGACGCUGAGCCGGCGCGGGCGGGCCCUCUGGGCUGGAGGAGGGCGAGCGGCGGCUGGCGCCUCUGGGGGCCCGGGUCCCCUCCCCCACGUCCCGGCUGCGGGUGCAAUAACCCCGAAAGGCGUUGACCUUGCACACUGGGCGCUCGGAAGUUCCAAACGCGAGGGGGCCCGGCUGGACUUGCAGGGCCCUGGGGGCGGUGGGGGCGGGAGCAGUCGCGGCCGGCCAGGGAGGGGGAGUCGGGGGCGCGCAGCUACGCCGAGCCCGUAGUGGGGAGAAGCGGAAGUUUCCGCAGAGGCCUUCGGCCUGGCUGUAUGGGGUCCCUCCUUCUUUGAAAGGCAUUUCAGCCAAUGUGCGGUUUUUGUCUGUGUUUAUUAUAACCCCAAUGAAAAAGUUAUGAAACUGGAGCCAAUAGUAUUUGAAAUUGUGAGAGUCCACAAAGAAAUUCCCACUUCUGGCUUUGGUGGCUGGGUCAGAAGGUCCGGCGGCCCGUACCCACGCCACCCUGCCCUGACCCCACCCUGCCCUGACGUGAGGGGCCAGAGGCGCGAGGGGAUCUUAGUAUUUUGACGCAGGCUGGAGUGGCCUCUGGGAGGCAGGCCGGCUGACAGCCUGGGUUCAAACGCCCCCGUCACCCCCUGCCAGGGGCUCCCUGGUUUCCUUCUGUUGGGGGUCCUGAAAGUAUGGGGUAGGGGAGGGUUUGUGAGGGUUUAUCGUGUCAAUUAUAAUUGUUAAAAAUACAUAAAAUCACACCAGAAAGCCCUCCUGGAAGCAAACCUGGAGAACUGGAAAGACGACCUCUAACACCGCAAAACCCAGCCAAGAGGGGAGCAUGCCAUUUCCAAAAGGGGCUGAGGCACACCCACUGUGGACAGGGGAGCACAGGGCCCUGAGCGCAGGAGGGGGCGACCCAGAGCAGGCCAGGCGUGUGCCCUAGGGCCCCAAAGCUCCGCCUGUAGCUGCCUUAAGGCGUCCCUGGCCUGGGGAGGCCGGACUUCCCAGUGAUGACUCACUCUGCCAGGACUAGGCUGGCACGCCCUGUGCCUGGAGCUGCCCGCCUCUGCCUGCAGUCGCUCAACCCCUUUUCCGGCUGAGUUCGGGAUUGUCAUCCUUCAUGGGCCUUGAGGCAGCAGCCCAGACCUGGUGGGCAGAGCUGCCCUGGGUCAACCCCUUAAGUGUCUUUACCCAGAUGACAAUCCUCUACGGAGUGGUAAAUCAUAAUUAAGGCACAUUUUUACCCAGAACUGCCGGGUGCCAGCCAUCGUGGCUGCACCAUUUCCACUCCCAUCAGCAGGCUUUUGGGGUAGACUGUGAUAACUAUUGUAUGGAAGAGAGAACUGAGCCUCAGACGGCGAAGACCCUGGCCAAGGUCGUGUGGCUGGCCGCUGGUCCCCUCCCUCUGGUGCUUCCUUUUCCUGCCCCGAGAGCAGAGUGGAUGAAGCCUGAGCAGGAGCCUCCCCAGUGGGCACCCUGCCUCGGCCCUGGGUGUCUGGGCCCAGCUGGAGCCCACGGGGCCCUCCAGGGCUGGCCCAGCUCCUCUCACUCAUGGGUCAGCAGAGCUGGGCUUCUGAUCCUGGGCUGGCUGGCUCCAGAGCCGGCCCUCACCCACGCUUGCACUCCCCUCAGCUCCCCCAGGCCAGCGGCCAAGGCUGGGGUCGGGGGCAGUGAGAAGGCCUGGAUGAAGAUCCCUGCUGCCAGGUAGGAACGUGGGUCCAGGCUGUUCAAGGGCCAGCUUGAGCCAGAACCAUCUCUGCUCGGCCUGUGGCUCUGUCUUGUGACAAUCUCACUUUCCCAGUGGGGAAACUGAGGCCCAGACAAGGAAGCAGGGCCUAGCACAGGGACCCCACUCGGUGGCUGCCCCUUCCAUGGGCUUUGAGGGGAGCCAGAGCGGCCUGACCGGGGGAUAAACGGCUUUCCCAGGGAAGCGGCUUAAUCCAGCUUCGUACCUGCCAGAACGGCUGCUAGGGAACCCCUAGUUAGCCAGGAAGCCCUUUCUUUCCAGAAUUCUCUCAGAAGGAAGAAAAUCUUCUUGGUUGGCUACAGGCCUUUAUUCAGUUUUCCCCUUGAAGUGUGGCGCAUGCACUGUGAGACCCCAUGGCUUUAGGUGAGCUUCUUGUAUCUCAAAGUCGAGUCAGAUGAAGCACGAAUCCUGAGUCAAGCUGCUUCACUGAGGCAGUGUACAUUUGGGAGCAGGGUGGAAUGCAGACCACCCCUUGCUGGCUGGGCAGCUUUCCUCAAGCUGCUCCCUGUGUGGGGCCUUCAGUGUCCUCCCGCAAAAAAUUGGCGGAAACAUGCACAGUAUAGGGCAGGUGUGGAUUUCAAGUGAGGGCAGAGCACAGCCAAGCACCUGGCACUCAGUAGGUGCUCUUUGCUCUGUGCUUCCUUCCUCUCCCUACUGGAUCUGCCCAGGAGCCAAGGCUCCCCACAGCCCUAAGUUUGUAUGUGAAUAUAAGGAGGGCCAAUUGUUUGCUGAAGACAGGGCCUAGCCCUGAGUGAUUUCAGAGUCCAGGAAAAAGCAAUCGCAGCUCUUUGCUCCGUGACUGUCUUUGUCCCCUGAAUAUCCACUUCAUAAUUUCUUUAGCUAUGAUCUCUGACUCCAUGUGGAAGAAAAAGAAAAGAACAUAGCUAGUGGUAGAAUGAGAUGAUCACAUAAAAACAAGUCAUUGUGCUUCUGCUUCGGGAAAGUGCAAGCCACGAUAAGAUUUCGGCUUUAGGAAUGACAUGUAAUUUCCUUUGAACCGAAAAUAGUCUCAGAACCCCAACUCAAGCUUUCCCGCCCUCGCCGCCGUGCGUCCUCAGGGUCUGAGAACCAGGAGAUCAACCGCGGCGCCCUCGGCCGGGCGCGCAGUGCCGCGGAGGGGCGCGCGGGGGCAGCAGCGGGCCCGCGCCGCCGCCGACACUGCCGGGCGGGGGGUUUCCACGCUCGGUCCCCGGUUCUCUGUCGCCGGCCGCCCAUUGUUGUUUCCGAAGGGGUGGGGGGCGCGGGGCCCGCUGUCCUCAGCGCUUCGUCGGGGACGGCCCCGCUUCCUACGGCGGGCGGAGAGCGGUUUGUUUAAGGACAAACUUUUAAAGGGGACUCCGGAUGGCGGAUCGGCGUCGCCUGCGGUUAGACGCCCGCGGGGCCGCCUGGGGACGAGCGGCUGCCCUGACCCCGCGGGGCCGGGCCCGGAGGAGCACAUCUCCCCUGGGCUCUGCGCGCUUGCCGCCUCGUGCAUUUGCCCUCCUCCCCCCCAGCCCCGGGGUCCGAGGGGGGCCCCGCCCUCCUGUCUGAGGCCUCCUCCUCCAGGGAGCCCUCCCACCCGCUCCCUCCCACCGCAGAGCUGCGCCCCGGCCUGGCCGCUCCCCGCAGCAGCCGCUGGCACUGCAGGCUCUGCGGGGGGCCCCGUUCUUCUGCUCCGGCCCCGCACAGAGGCCUGCCCAAGGUCUCCCCAGAGCAGCCGUCCGUGGGUCGAAGGACUCAGGCGUGAAGAGGCCACCAGGGCCACUGGGACGCCUGCUGCCCUACCUCCUGAAUGUGGAGGGGCCGGCCGUCCCUCGUUCCCUCUGCCUGUCCUGACUGCGGAGCACCCUGAGCAGGGCCCUGCGGGCGCCUUGCUGAGCACUCUGGCCCCAUUGCUGUCCUCCUCUUCGCUCUUCCUGUCCUCUCCGGCUGGGUUGUAAGGCCUGCUUGCAUCCUUUUGGGAAGAAGGUGGGAGUCUCAACAGAUGAGUGAACCUGAGCAGUUCAGGUGGAAACAGCGUGGCUCUGAUCUCCCACCCCCCAAGAGCUGAGGUGUGGGACCCAGUUGUGGCCCAUGGGGAAACUGGUGUGGCCGGCCUGGCCUGGGUGACCACUCACCCCUCGGAGCUCGGCCUGGCCCUCUCUAGCCCGCGUGCCUCCUGUGUAAAGGGGGCUGAUGGUGGGUGGCGGGGACCCCUCCUGCUGUGGUGGAGGCCGUGUCCUGGGUCCCCCUCCCCACCUGGACGCAGAGAGCAGUGAAGGCCAGCCUCUUCCCCGGGGGCGUCCCUGCUGACCAGGUUGUUGACAGGGCAGGGCCGGAACGGGCAGGCGCGGGUUCUGCCAGCUUGGGGCUGCAUGGAGGGGCACAGUGUUGUCCUGAGGGCAGUGCCCUCCUCGUCAUCGCGGAACUUCUCGGGGACGCGCCUUCAGAAAUUCCGUGGCGCUGAGCCUGCGUCACAGGCAGGGUGAGCCCUUCCUGGAAGACAGCCGCCCGGCACCCCCACUCUGACUCAUGCCUCCUGACUGUUACUGAGAUUCGCCCUCCUGAUAGGUGAAAGUCGGCGCACCCGUCGGUUGGUUUUCUGACAGAAGUGCCCUUCCUGGGUAGGGCCACAGGACCUUCAGGGGGGUCCGGGCCCCGGCAGGUGCACGGAGCUGGGACUGGCGGCUUUGGAGAAGGCCUGGUUUCAGAGGGGGUCCCGGCGCCAGCGGCCCCAGUGCUUCUGCCUGUGUGACCUGCCUGCCCCAGCGGCACUGUGGGGAGGGGCUGUCCGUCCUGGAGACCAGGGCCUAGAAGGCGCCCUCCGCCCCCCACCCCGUCCCUGUCCCCGUCCCCCAGUGCCUGCGGACCUGGCUGGCCACCACAGGAUGGCCACGGCGCUUUCUCCCAGCUCUACAGUGACCACAUUUCUCUUUGCUCCAGAUGGGAAUGUUCUUGCUGUUCCUUUCUGUCCCAUCUCUUCUAACCUCCCGCCUUUAAAGAGGACCCUCUGUGGUGACUAGACGCAGGCCCGGACAGCUUGGGGUUCUGAGCAGCGGGUUGGGGUGGGGGAGCUCUCUGGGCUCCACAGAAGGGUGGUGGCAUGCAGGGAGGCUGCCCACGGCAGCACAGCUGCUUCAAUCCCACAGCUAUGGGGCACAUCACACUGCAGUGUGGGGUACACCAGGGUGUCCACUGGCCUGACGGCCUGGGCUGGUUAUAAGGCCCUGCUGUGGCCCUGUCCGCAUGGCUUCUGGCAAGGGGGCUCCCCUUGGGCAGUGGGAUGGUGAGCCCAGCUCAGGCAGAGCCCCAUGCUCAUCUGUGACAAGAACCAGCCUCCUGGCUGGUGCUGGUGAAGGGCUUCUCAGGUGCUUUAAUUGGCUCCAUGGGCAGUUCUGCUUGCAGCCCCUCCUGACCGAUGAGGAAGUCGAGAUCAGGGAGGCCACGUCACUGCCAAGGCCUGGGGGCCAGCUGGGGGCGAGGCGCUGGGGGAGGAGGCCUCUGCCUCCAGGGGGAGAGGGUAGGGGAAGGGGCUGCUCUGAGCUGCCUUCAGUGCCCCGCUCACCACGGGCAGCCAGGGCCUCCGUGUGGGUGUUUGCUGCCUGACUUUGGCUUUUGGGUCGCUGGAGCUUGGGGUGCUCCUUCCCUCCUCACGCUGGUCCCUUGAAGCUCACCUGGGCUGGGGACCAAAGAGGAGAGUCUGGGCCUCGGCCUCACGAAACAGCAACUCCUGGGGCUGUUGGGAGGGAGGGUGCUGUGUUCCCAUCCCAGCUCUGUCUAACCAGCUGUGUGAGUUAGCGGUAAGUUAACCUCUCUGAGCCUCGGUUUCCUCAUCCGUAAGAUGAGGAUCAUAGUAGGACUGCUUCAUCAGGUGAGCGUAAGGAGUAAGUGAGCCGGCGCGUGUAAAGGGCUAAAGAUACUGCUGAUCCGCAGGAAGCACUGUGUUAACGUCAAGCCCUGUGCUGGGCUCCUCUGGGCAUUAUAUUAUUCAGCUCUCUCAGCUGCCCAUUGGGCAUCAUUCCCCCAUCACAGGUGGGGAGAUUGAGGCUGAGCAAAUGUAAGUGACUUGGCCAAGGUUACACUGUCCCCUGCCUGGCGAGAGCCUUGACUGAGGGUCCUCUCCACCCUCCCUCUUCCCAACAGCCCAGCUCUUGGGGAACCUGAGAACCCAGUUCUGGGGCAGAGUCCAGGCCUCCGCUAUCCCUGGCUUGGCCCGACUCUCCCUGGCCUGGCAGGGUUUGGGGCUUCUGUGUUCCCACCCUGGGACCCUCCUGCUUGUGCCUCUAAGCUCCCUAUUUCCCUCACACAACCUUCUUCACUUUUUUGUGGGAGUAAUGUUUUUUGAAAUAUGUUAGUACACCGUCUCAUUUGCAUCUCCCAGCCUGGCCACUCCCUCUCCUGCUGGAGGCGUCCAUUCGCCCCCGUGGUUUGGGCUUGCAUGAGCGAACCUUCAGCUUCAGAAUUCCAAAUCAGGCCUUCUGAGUUUGCACCUGGCCAGUAGGCUUGAAAGGCAGGCUUUGUUGAGAGUCAAAGAUUUUCUAGAUCUUUUCUCUCUUAACAUUUGAAGAUAGAAGUUCUUGAACACAGCACUGUCAGUGGUGGCCCAACCCCCUUGGAGCUUCUGGGUGGAGUCUGCUCUGCAGGGCAGCCUCUGCCCACAGAGGGAGGCCCCAGCAGGACAGACAUGGUAGGCCACACGGUCAGGAGCGUGGACGGGCUGUGUGUUCUCCCAGGCAGGCUUUGCUUUCUUGCUGGCUAAGAUGGGGCCCAGAGGCUCGCUGUGCCCCAAGUAGGGACGCAGAACUCAACCGAUCCUGGGGCAGGGUGGCUCCCUGUGUGCUGGCCCCCCGCCCCCGCACCAGGCUAAACCCUUGCCAGCCAGGUCUGGGGGCUGCAGCAAGGCCUCUGCCGGUGUAUGCCCACGGCCUCUACCAGCCGGCAAUACUGGGCAGCGGCCAGCUCACGCCCGGCAGCCAGCCCAUCUCUCACGGCUCUCACCUGCCCUCCUGCUCUUGGGGCCUCUGGACUCCUAAAGAAUUCAGAAUCCUGAAAGGCCAAACAUUUACUUGAUCUGUACAAGUAGGGACCGGGCUGUCCAAAGAGAGGGUUUGAAGAUCCCUCCUGGUUGGACACAAUCUGAAGCACUUACGGAAUGUGCUUUAAAAUGCUCCAGUGGGGCGAGGGCUGCUAACUGCUGAUGCGGGGAGGAGCGGCUGCGGGUUCAUUCUGCCACCCUCUCUAUCUCUGUGUGAAUUUAAACUUUUCAUAGACGGAAGCUGAGAAAUGAAAUAAAGCCUUAAUUAUUGGGUCAGACUGGAAUGACUGGAUGCGACUCUCGGGUUUUGUCUGUGGUAACCCUUGGACGGGUCUGUCCGAGCAGAUUGGAGCAGACAGAAAUAAAAAGCAGUGUUUCAACUGCUGGGCUGGACGAGGUGGCACAGACCUGCCCUCCCUGCUCCUCCCUGCUGAGCACAGCUACGGACCCUGGAGAUGGCACAGGAGACGGCCCACAGAGGACUCUGGAAGGUGGAAGAGGACGGCAUGCUGGCGUGAGACCCUGGGACUGGAGGAACAGCACAGUGGCAGGGCUGCUUGCAGACCCCACCUGACAGAAGGAGGGACCCAGGCCUGGCACUUCCCGAGCCCCAAGGAGCUGCUUGAGGAGCCCCAGGCGGGCUCAUUCCCACCCCAUGCCCCACCCCCCCACCCCGUGGACCGGCAGUGCUGCUGAAAACAGGUGAGCGGAGCAGCAGCAGCAGCAGGGUUGGUGCGAGGUCUGACGGCAGUAAGUGGCCGGGGGCAGUGUUCUCCUUCCCUGCUGGGCCUGCCUCCUCCCCUGGGGGUUGGCGAAUCCCUCCACCUACCUAGAGGCACCAGGAGGCUGGGCCUGGGGAAUCCCAUCUGCCCCGCAGGCAUCAGCAGGGGCCAGUGGGAGCCCCAGCCACAAGAGAUGGACCAAGAUAUGCUGUGAGGCCCUGACAAUGAGAUUCUCCUCGGAAACACACUGCAAAGCAGGCCAGAACCUGUGUGCUAACCCUCAACUGGUGACUGGCUGCUAAAAUAAAACGUAUGGCCGCGCGCACAGUCUCCAGACAUAGUAGCAAAUAUGUCAGAAGUCCAACAAAAAAUUGCCCAUCUUACGGUGAACCAGGAAAAUCACAACCUGAAUAUGAAAAGAAAAUCGAUUAAUGCCAACCCAGAGAUGAAUUAGAUGUCGGGAUUAUCUGGCAAGGGUUUUAAAGUAACCAUCAUGAAAAUGCUUCAACAAGCAAUUACAAAUUCUCUUGAAACAAAUUAAAAAAUAGAAAAUCUCAGCAAAGAAACAAGUUAUAAAAACUAUACCUGAAAAAUACAAUAACAGAAGUUUUUUAAAAAAGCCCAGUGGUUGGGCUCGGUAAUAGAGUGGAGACGACAGAGGAUAGAAAAUCAGUGAACUUGAGGACAGAACCAUAGAGUCCACCCAAUCUGAGCAUCAGGGAGAAAAUAGAUUAGAAACAAGGGGCCCAUGGGACAACAGGAGAUCCAUCAAUUGUGUUAUGUGUCAUCGGAAUCCAGCUGGAGGAGGAGAGUGCGACUGAAAGAGGACUUGGAGAAAUAAUGACUGAAAAUAUCUCAGAUUUGGCAAAAUACAUAAACCUACAGAUUCAAGAAGCUGAGUGAGCCACCAACAGGAUAAGCCCAAAGAAAUUCAUGUCAAGACAUUGUAAUUAAGCUUGUGAAAAUGAAAGACAGAAAAAAGUUCGUAACAGCAGACAGAGAGCCCUGCCUUCUUUUCCUUUGCGUUUCCCUAAGACUGUUCUUACUGUUUUAAAAAAAAUUUCCCUUUAUCAUUGGUGUGCCAUUUGAUUUCAACAGCAUUAUUUAUUACAUAAGUAAUACAUGGUGAUUGCAAAAAAAAUGAAACACAUUAUUCAUUAAAAAGAUAAAAAUUACUGCAAUCCCACUGCCCAGAUGACUCUACCAUUAACAUCCCGGUAUUGGUCUUUCCAGACGUGGUUCUAUGUGUGCAAGUGCAUGUGAGCAAGCAUUUUAGCUAAAAUGUAAUUGUAGAAUACAUACCAUUCUAUGACCUACUUUUUCAUUUUAAAACCUGUUGUGACCAUCUUUCCUUGUCAAGAAAUGGACAAAUAUAUCAUUAUUCUUAAUGACUGUGUAGAAUUCCAUUGUAUGAAUAUAUCACAAUUUCAAUAAUCACAAAUGUUGAAAAUUUAGGUUACCUUUUUCAAGUUGUAAAUAAUGCUGUGAUGAACAUUUUUGUAUGUAUAUCUUUGUGCGCUCAUCUGGUUAUUGCCUCAGGAUAAAUUCAGAAAUUUUGAAUUUUGGAGUGAGAGGAUAUGUGUGGUUUAAGGCUUUUGAUAAACAUUGUCAAGUCGUCCUUCCAGAAGGUUCACCAGUGAAUACUUCUGCAAGCAGUGUGUGAGAAUGCUAGUCUCCAGGAAUACCGGGCCUCUUACCCUAUCAUUGCAUGCUCCCCUCUGUCCAGAUGGGGUGGCUUCCCCACUGUUGUCCUGAGUGUGCGCAGCGUGCUCUCCCCUCGAGGGCCUUUGACUUGCUGAUUCCUCCACCUGAAACGUUUUCCCCCAGACAUCCGAACAGCUCUCACUUUCUUCAGGUCUCUGUUCAGAUACUGUUUGAUUAGAAUUGCCUUGCCUGUUCAUCUUAGGGAACAGAGCCAUCCCCUCUUCCCUGUUACUUCCUAGCCACCUUACUUUCCCUUAUAUUUCUCCCUAACACUUGUCACCUUGUCUCGCGCACACUAGGUCCUUAGGGCCUAAGGGCAGAGACUGUCAAUUCACCUCUGGAUUCCAACUCCCAGGGUUGCAUACAGCUCCCAUUGAUCCUGCGUGUGGAGGAUGCUGAACAGGCAGCCAUUGCUUGGACGACUAUUGUUAUUUUUAAGCUGUAGGAGGUUGACAUGUGAAAAAUGGUAUCUCACUAUUGUUCCAAUUUGCAUUUAUUCAGUCACUAAUUAAAAUGAACUUUUUUCUCUUUUUGACCAUUUGUUUUUCUUAUUUUGCAAAUUACUCAUUCAGUUGCUUAAUUUAUUUUUCUAUUGAGGUGUCUAUCUCUUUAUUUUUAAUAGUUCUUUAAAUAUUAAUGUGAUUGACAAAUAAAUGAAAAGCAAUAGGAUGUACUGGAGUAUGUGAGGAAGCCAUUUGGUUUAAAACCAAUUGGCCUGAACUUGUUUUUCUGGAAAGGCCUGAUGUGGCCUGUUG